This 253-nucleotide ribosomal RNA is filed under the name uncultured bacterium. RNAcentral's name for it is "partial 16S ribosomal RNA". It matches the Rfam family "Bacterial small subunit ribosomal RNA", at positions 524 to 776 of the family's 1533-position model. The record is from RNAcentral.
UACGAAGGGGGCUAGCGUUGCUCGGAAUCACUGGGCGUAAAGCGCACGUAGGCGGAUUGUUAAGUCAGGGGUGAAAUCCUGGAGCUCAACUCCAGAACUGCCUUUGAUACUGGCGAUCUCGAGUCCGGGAGAGGUGAGUGGAACUGCGAGUGUAGAGGUGAAAUGCGUAGAUAUUGGGAGGAACACCGGUGGCGAAGGCGGCUACCUGGACCGGUACUGACGCUGAGGCGCGAAAGCUAGGGUAGCAAACAGG